CCUACGGGAGGCAGCAGUGGGGAAUAUUGCACAAUGGGCGAAAGCCUGAUGCAGCAACGCCGCGUGAAGGAAGAAGGCCUUCGGGUCGUAAACUUCUGUCCUUGGGGAAGAAGAACUGCCUUUACCCAAGGAGGACGCCCCGCCUAACUCCGUGCCAGCGGCCGCGGUAAUACGUUGGGGGCAAGCGUUAUCCGGAAUUAUUGGGCGAAAGGAGUACGUAGUUGGCAACCUAAGCGCAGGGUUUAGGGCAAGGUUUCACCCAUUGUUCGCCCUGGGAACUGGGAUGCUUGAGUGCAGGAGAGGAGAGUGGAAGUCCGAGUGUAGCGGUGAAAUGCGUAGAUAUAAGGAGGAACACCAGUGGCGAAGGCGGCUUUCUGGACUGUAACUGACACUGAGGUACGAAAGCAUGGGGAGCAAACAGGAUUAGAUACCCUGGUAGUC
Molecule: ribosomal RNA, 441 nt
Filed under: uncultured bacterium
Lineage: Bacteria
Description: partial 16S ribosomal RNA
Rfam family: Bacterial small subunit ribosomal RNA
Source: RNAcentral